ACAUUCAUCAAAGCCGAAAGAAAGAAGUAAGAAAUUCAGUCGCCAAUUUUUGGGAUUGAUUAUUUAAUACUACGUAAAGAGAUAACACAAAGAAAACUAGAUAGAUAUAAAUAUAUUUUUGGACUUGUUGAGGGAUCGAGUUAUUUUUCUGGCGUUGAGAGAAUUUUAAAGAGAUAAUGUAAAGUGAUAAAAUAAAGAAAAGGAGAUAUUUUGCACUUGCUGAAGGAUUAAAUUAUUUUUCUAGGCCUUGCUUUGGGCUUUAGCUAUGGGAGCAUUUCAGGUUUUUUCAGUUGCAGAUUUAUUUAG
RNAcentral lists this long non-coding RNA (306 nucleotides) under Panax ginseng (ginseng). RNAcentral describes it as "long non-coding RNA (PGIN_LNC009067)". Lineage: Eukaryota; Viridiplantae; Streptophyta; Magnoliopsida; Apiales; Araliaceae. The record is from RNAcentral.